This 234-nucleotide long non-coding RNA is filed under the name Cavia porcellus (domestic guinea pig). Its description in RNAcentral is "lncRNA (ENSCPOG00000033537.1)". The record is from RNAcentral. Lineage: Eukaryota; Metazoa; Chordata; Mammalia; Rodentia; Caviidae.
UACAAAGCACUCAAGAUUGCCCAAAGCGCAGUCACAUUAUUGCACAGUGCAGAAGUAGCGGGCUGCAUUGUGAAGGACUUCCCAGCAUGAAGAGGGGUGUACUCUGUGUCCCUGGGGUGUCCCACACACAGCUAAGCCACCUCCCUCUGCGCUGGCUCCUUCUACUGGACCUUGGAUCACUGUCUGAACCUUCCUGGCUGUGUAGAUUGUCCUCCCUGGGAGUCAGCAGAAGCG